CCCCGCCCCGACUCCCUCGGCGAAGAAGCCCCCGCGGCCGGCCGAUCUCCGUGGACUCCGCAGGAGCGGCCCCGCCCCUCACACUAUGCCGGGCGGUUCCCUCUGAGCCCCGCCGGGACAGCGUCUACGCUGCACACACCACAGAGAAGCCAGAGAACGGUGCCUGCACCGGACACAGCACAACACCAGCACAGGACAGCGUCCACACCACACACACCACAAGUGAGCCUAGGGAGCUGUGUCUACACUGCAGACGUCGGCCUGAGCACACACGUCUUCGUGCAGGCCCAGCAGAGGGGGAAAAACACCUCCCCGAGGGUGGAAGAGUUGUGGCCAGCAGACAGAUGGACGGACAGACGGACACAGGCGAACAGGCAGCCCAGGGGUGAGCUGAGCCGGUCAAAUGGGCCAGGACCCGGCUCCGUGUGUCCUUCACAGUCAGGAUGACAGAACCCCAUGGAAUAUGAAAAAUGCCGGGAGACAGACCCCGGAGGCACAGCCCCUCACCGGGCAGGGAGGCCGCCAGAGGGAAGCGCAGCUCCAGGUUGUCAGCCGGGUCCCCUCUCGGCUCCUGAAGGCUGCCGGCAUCUUCCUCUCAAGGGCCCUUCCCAUCUUCCAACCGGAAACAGCAUGGCCGGUUCUCCUGGCUCUGAGGCGCUAAUCACCAGAGCCCCAUCUGAUUAAGGCAUCGAGAUCAAAGCUCAGCAGAGGGCGGCUCAUGAUGGGCAGCUCAAAAAAAUAAACCCACCAAUCAGAGUCCGUGUUCCUGUGACCGGUGGCGGGUUCGGAUGCAGAGGAGGCUUCUCAGUGCCGUUCCUCAUCUCGGAACCUGCCACCCCACUCAAGCCCGACAUAGGCCGGGACAGCCGGGACGGCCGCAGCGAGGGCAACACGAGGCACAUCGACAUCCUGAGGCCCCCGGGCCUGUCGCCGAGUCCCGGCUUGGGGAGUGUCCCCGGGCCACACUGGUCCUGCUUCCAGCUGUGUGGUCUCCCAGGCGCGUGGCUCCUCCCUCCGGGGCCCAGGCUCUGGUGUGAGCCACUUUUUCCGUAGGAGACGCCCGUGCUUGCAGCUCACGCCUUUGUCUGGUGCCCUGGCCUCACACCUAUAGGAAUUGGGUACCUGGGGGCCUCUUCAUCUUUACUUGUCUCAGCUUAGAGAAGCCCAGCUACACUUCCUCCAUGCCUGGAUUCAUGCACGGCCCCACAGGGUGAGGCCUGGACACCCUCACGGGCACUGGGGCUCCACGGAUGCAGAAGGCAGCCUGGCCCGGUAGCUCGGGGGUCUGAGAUGGAGGUGGAGUAAGACAGAGCGACAAAGGCUGCGUCCUGGAGGCAGGCUCGGAGCCUCCCUGAGGUCACAGAGCCCGCGUGCGCCAGGAAGCCACACCUGCAGGACCCAAGUCAGAACUCAGAGGCUGGUACA
RNAcentral lists this long non-coding RNA (1425 nucleotides) under Pan troglodytes (chimpanzee). RNAcentral describes it as "long non-coding RNA NONPTRT004180". The record is from RNAcentral. Lineage: Eukaryota; Metazoa; Chordata; Mammalia; Primates; Hominidae.